GACGAACGCUGGCGGCGUGCUUAACACAUGCAAGUCGAACGGAAAGGCCCUGCUUUUGUGGGGUGCUCGAGUGGCGAACGGGUGAGUAACACGUGAGUAACCUGCCCUUGACUUUGGGAUAACUUCAGGAAACUGGGGCUAAUACCGGAUAGGAGCUCCUGCUGCAUGGUGGGGGUUGGAAAGUUUCGGCGGUUGGGGAUGGACUCGCGGCUUAUCAGCUUGUUGGUGGGGUAGUGGCUUACCAAGGCUUUGACGGGUAGCCGGCCUGAGAGCGUGACCGGCCACAUUGGGACUGAGGUACGGCCCAGACUGCUACGGGAGGCAGCAGUCGGGAGUAUUGCACAGUGGGCGGAAGCCUGAUGCAGCAGCGCCGCGUGCGGGAUGACGGCCUUCGGGUUGUGAACCGCUUUCGCCUGUGACGAAGCGUGAGUGACGGUAAUGGAUAAAGAAGCACCGGCUAACUACGUG
This 468-nucleotide ribosomal RNA is filed under the name uncultured bacterium. RNAcentral's name for it is "partial 16S ribosomal RNA". It matches the Rfam family "Bacterial small subunit ribosomal RNA", at positions 28 to 507 of the family's 1533-position model. The record is from RNAcentral.